Molecule: RNase P RNA, 374 nt
Filed under: Candidatus Doudnabacteria bacterium RIFCSPHIGHO2_01_FULL_45_18
Lineage: Bacteria; Candidatus Doudnaibacteriota
Description: RNase P RNA component class A
Rfam family: Bacterial RNase P class A
About the family: Ribonuclease P (RNase P) is a ubiquitous endoribonuclease, found in archaea, bacteria and eukarya as well as chloroplasts and mitochondria. Its best characterised activity is the generation of mature 5'-ends of tRNAs by cleaving the 5'-leader elements of precursor-tRNAs. Cellular RNase Ps are ribonucleoproteins.
Source: RNAcentral
AAAAGUAAGUGCGGCAAUCGCUCCCAUCGCAAGGUGGGGGAGGAAAGUCCGAACACGUUGGUUGAAUGAAGUCCUCGCGAGUUCAUGCAACCGCAGGUAGCGGGUAAUUCCCGUCAUGAGUAAUCAAGGGAUGCGAACAGAGACGGUUUUUGCGGAGACGCAAAAACCGACCGGUCGAAUGACCGGUCGCAAUUCUAUAGUAAUAUAGAAAGUGAAACGGCUAAAUUCCUACUUGCCAGUGCAAUACCAAAUAGGCCCUUGAAUGGGCGGGUUGGUAGCUUGAUCCCGACGGUAACGUCGGGACCAGAUAGAUGAUUGCCUCCGGUUAGCUUUUAACUGACAGACAGAAUUCGGCUUACAACUUACUUUUAAAA